CAAUAGCGUAUAUUAAAGUUGUUGCAGUUAAAAAGCUCGUAGUUGGAUUUCUGGAUGGAGCGACCGGUCGGGCAUUAAUUUGUCUGCACUGGAGUCGGUUCCGUCCAUCCUCUUGGAAAGUGCGUCGGGCAUUAAGUUGUUUGGCGUAUGAUCCAAGUCGUUUACUGUGAAAAAAUUAGAGUGUUUAAAGCAGGCCUUCGCCUUGAAUACAUUAGCAUGGAAUAAUAAGAUAGGACUUUGGUCUAUUUUGUUGGUUUGCAGACCGAAGUAAUGAUUAAUAGGGAUAGUUGGGGGUAUUUAUAUUCCGAUGUCAGAGGUGAAAUUCUUAGAUUUUCGGUAGAUAAACUUAUGCGAAAGCAUUUACCAAGGAUGUUUUCAUUAA
RNAcentral lists this ribosomal RNA (382 nucleotides) under uncultured eukaryote. Its description in RNAcentral is "partial 18S ribosomal RNA". It matches the Rfam family "Eukaryotic small subunit ribosomal RNA", at positions 592 to 976 of the family's 1831-position model. The record is from RNAcentral.